RNAcentral lists this ribosomal RNA (253 nucleotides) under uncultured bacterium. RNAcentral's name for it is "partial 16S ribosomal RNA". It matches the Rfam family "Bacterial small subunit ribosomal RNA", at positions 524 to 776 of the family's 1533-position model. The record is from RNAcentral.
UACGAAGGGGGCUAGCGUUGCUCGGAAUGACUGGGCGUAAAGCGUGCGCAGGCGGUAAUGUAAGACAGGUGUGAAAUCCCCGGGCUUAACCUGGGAACUGCAUUUGUGACUGCAUUGCUGGAGUGCGGCAGAGGGGGAUGGAAUUCCGCGUGUAGCAGUGAAAUGCGUAGAUAUGCGGAGGAACACCGAUGGCGAAGGCAAUCCCCUGGGCCUGCACUGACGCUCAUGCACGAAAGCGUGGGGAGCAAACAGG